This 292-nucleotide ribosomal RNA is filed under the name uncultured bacterium. Its description in RNAcentral is "partial 16S ribosomal RNA". It matches the Rfam family "Bacterial small subunit ribosomal RNA", at positions 505 to 796 of the family's 1533-position model. The record is from RNAcentral.
GUGCCAGCAGCCGCGGUAAUACGGAGGAUUCAAGCGUUAUCCGGAUUUAUUGGGUUUAAAGGGUGCGUAGGCGGUUUGAUAAGUUAGAGGUGAAAUCCCGGGGCUUAACUCCGGAACUGCCUCUAAUACUGUUAGACUAGAGAGUAGUUGCGGUAGGCGGAAUGUAUGGUGUAGCGGUGAAAUGCUUAGAGAUCAUACAGAACACCGAUUGCGAAGGCAGCUUACCAAACUAUAUCUGACGUUGAGGCACGAAAGCGUGGGGAGCAAACAGGAUUAGAAACCCGAGUAGUCC